This 202-nucleotide long non-coding RNA is filed under the name Capsella rubella. Its description in RNAcentral is "long non-coding RNA (CRUB_LNC003252)". Lineage: Eukaryota; Viridiplantae; Streptophyta; Magnoliopsida; Brassicales; Brassicaceae. The record is from RNAcentral.
UUUAGUUUGUUAAAGGAGAAUAUCUAAACUUAAUUUCGGAAAAGUAUUUGACGGGCAUGAAUUUCCUCUUGACUAGACAAAAUUAGUAUUUUUUUUUUUGUAUCGUAAGAAUAUAUUUUCAGUUUUUUUUUCUAUAAGCACAUAAUGCAAGUAUUUAUAUAUUUUGUUUCGAUAAUGAUGUGAAAAAGGCAUUAAAUUAAAC